UGCUUGCUUCGGCAGCACAUAGAUUAAAUUAGAACAAUAUACAGAAGAUUAGUACAGCCUCUGUGCAAGGAUGACACGCAAAUUUGUCAAAUGUUCCAUAUUUUU
Molecule: small nuclear RNA, 105 nt
Organism: Nycticebus coucang (slow loris)
Lineage: Eukaryota; Metazoa; Chordata; Mammalia; Primates; Lorisidae
Source: RefSeq, a predicted model, not a curated record